This 356-nucleotide long non-coding RNA is filed under the name Schizosaccharomyces pombe (fission yeast). Lineage: Eukaryota; Fungi; Ascomycota; Schizosaccharomycetes; Schizosaccharomycetales; Schizosaccharomycetaceae. The record is from RNAcentral.
CACCUUUCAAUGCAGCGUCUUCGAUUCCUGAAGCAACCAAGCACGACAACAAUUCAAAAGGAAAAGAGAAUUUGUGUAGUAGGUGGGUGGAAAGGGAUUCUUCAUCUUGUAAGUAUACGUAGACAAGGCGUCGAUUUCGUUGGAGUGUCCCAAGCACACAUAAUGAGUCGCACAAUUACUUAUGAUAUGUUGAUGUCGUAGUUAGCAAAGAUUGUAGGAUUUUAGCUAGAAAGAAAUGCAAACAAAGAAAAGUGGAAAUGGAUAAGUAUAUAGCAAAAAUGAUUAUGAUUCUUUUUUCAAUUCGUUAUGCAGGUACGGCCAGGCGUGUAAAUAAGAGUUGUAGACGACGAUAGGCA